Long non-coding RNA from Myotis daubentonii (Daubenton's bat), 891 nucleotides. RefSeq lists it as uncharacterized. Lineage: Eukaryota; Metazoa; Chordata; Mammalia; Chiroptera; Vespertilionidae. The record is from RefSeq and is a predicted model, not a curated record.
CUGAUGCAUUUACACUUAACUCAUCAAAAUGUUUUACUAGAGCCAUUUGAUGUCCAAGAAACCUUUUGAGUCUUUUUUAUAAGCCUCUUCAAGCCCAUUCUGCUUCGAAACAGGAAGUCGCUUGUUACUCACCAUAAACCAGUGCAACCCCCGUAGGAUUUGGUUUCAUUUAAGACACCGAGAGACCGCAAGGUCCAAGCCUUCCCCUGAACUCGACAGAAAAGAUCUCCCCCUGAACCUGCUGAGAAUACACCGAGCACAGAUGAGGUGCGGUUAUUAUUUUCCAAAACAAAAUCCUUUCUGAGGAGGCAUCUUUCAUGCAGCCCCUGGGAAAGACGGUUACCAAAGCCCAGCGCUAAAUCACCGGCUCGGCCGGCUGCACCUGGAUGUGUGGAACGAAUGGGUAGCUGAAUGAAGUAUUAUGACGCGAACUGAAGACACCAGCAGUUCAGGCAGCCCGUUGAUGAUGGUGUCCUUAUGAGAAGGAGAAACUUGGACAUAGACACACACAGGGAGAACGCGUGUGAAAAAAGAACCAGAGACAAGGUUGAUGCUUCUAUGAGCCAACGAAUGUCAAAGACUGUCAGCAAACCACCACCAGUUAGGUGAGAGGCAAAGAACACAUUCUCCCUGCUGUCCCUCAGAAGGAACCAACCCUGCUGACACUGUGGUCUCAGACUUUCAGCCCCCAGACCUGUCACAUGAUAAAUCUCUAUGGUUUAAGCCCCUGAGGUUGUGGUACUUCAUUGAGACAGCCGGGGAAACCGAUGCAUGUGCCAUUCUAUGUUGUUAGGCCAAGGGAUCCUCCAACUCAGCUUUGCCCAUCAGUGAAUAGGGCCUGAACAGAAGAUUCUAGUGAUUCCAUUAAAAACAAAAUAAUGAGAAGAACAC